RNAcentral lists this ribosomal RNA (239 nucleotides) under Rattus norvegicus (Norway rat). RNAcentral's name for it is "partial 18S ribosomal RNA". The stretch from base 111 to 239 matches the Rfam family "Eukaryotic small subunit ribosomal RNA", at positions 738 to 865 of the family's 1831-position model. The record is from RNAcentral. Lineage: Eukaryota; Metazoa; Chordata; Mammalia; Rodentia; Muridae.
GUAGUUGGAUCUUGGGAGCGGGCGGGCGGUCCGCCGCGAGGCGGCUCAGCGCCCUGUCCCCAGCCCCUGCCUCUCGGCGCCCCCUCGAUGCUCUUAGCUGAGUGUCCCGCGGGGCCCGAAGCGUUUACUUUGAAAAAAUUAGAGUGUUCAAAGCAGGCCCGAGCCGCCUGGAUACCGCAGCUAGGGAAUAAUGGAAUAGGACCGCGGUUCUAUUUUGUUGGUUUUCGGAACUGAGGCCA